This 544-nucleotide ribosomal RNA is filed under the name Gastrophryne olivacea (western narrow-mouthed toad). RNAcentral describes it as "partial 16S ribosomal RNA". It matches the Rfam family "Bacterial large subunit ribosomal RNA", at positions 1849 to 2608 of the family's 2925-position model. The record is from RNAcentral. Lineage: Eukaryota; Metazoa; Chordata; Amphibia; Anura; Microhylidae.
GGAGUCAGCCUGCCCAGUGACCAAGUUAAACGGCCGCGGUACCCUAACCGUGCGAAGGUAGCGCAAUCACUUGUUCUUUAAAUGAGGACUAGUAUGAAUGGCAUCACGAGGGUUACACUGUCUCCCACCUCUAAUCAGUGAAACUGAUCUCCCCGUGAAGAAGCGGGGAUAAAACUAUAAGACGAGAAGACCCCAUGGAGCUUCAAACCCGGCAUCAACCAUUAACAUCAAUACCAUAUUAAAUAAAUGGACCUGACUGCUGGUUUUAGGUUGGGGUGACCGCGGAGCAUAACAAAACCUCCAUGAUGAACGACCUCCUCUCUAAUCCGAGAGCCACCACUCAAAGAAUCAAAAAAUUGACAUUUAUUGACCCAAACUAUUUUGAUCAACGAACCAAGUUACCCUGGGGAUAACAGCGCAAUCCAUUUCAAGAGCCCCUAUCGACAAAUGGGUUUACGACCUCGAUGUUGGAUCAGGGUAUCCUAGUGGUGCAGCCGCUACUAAAGGUUCGUUUGUUCAACGAUUAAAACCCUACGUGAUCUGA